RNAcentral lists this ribosomal RNA (465 nucleotides) under uncultured bacterium. RNAcentral describes it as "partial 16S ribosomal RNA". It matches the Rfam family "Bacterial small subunit ribosomal RNA", at positions 28 to 507 of the family's 1533-position model. The record is from RNAcentral.
GACGAACGCUGGCGGCGUGCUUAACACAUGCAAGUCGAACGGAAAGGCCCUGCUUGCAGGGUACUCGAGUGGCGAACGGGUAAGUAACACGUGGGUGAUCUGCCCUGCACGUCGGGAUAAGCCUGGGAAACUGGGUCUAAUACCGGAUAGGAGGCAGUUUUAGUGUAAUGGUUGGAAAGCUUUUUCGGUGUAGGAUGAGCUCGCGGCCUAUCAGCUUGUUGGUGGGGUAAUGGCCUACCAAGGCGGCGACGGGUAGCCGGCCUGAGAGGGUGGACGGCCACAUUGGGACUGAGAUACGGCCCAGACUCCUACGGGAGGCAGCAGUGGGGAAUAUUGCACAAUGGGCGCAAGCCUGAUGCAGCGACGCCGCGUGGGGGAUGACGGCCUUCGGGUUGUAAACUCCUUUCGCUAGGGACGAAGCUUUUUGUGACGGUACCUAGAUAAGAAGCACCGGCUAACUACGUG